GAUAAACGCUGGCGGCGCACAUAAGACAUGCAAGUCGAACGGAAGUCGUUGUAAUGAUAUAGACAUGGACUGAGAACUUGUUCAAAGAAAGUGAAAGUUGACUUACAACAAUGGCUUUAGUGGCGGACUGGUGAGUAACACGUAAGCGACCUGCCUAUCAGAGGGGAACAACAGUUAGAAAUGACUGCUAAUACCGCAUAUGCCUAAGUAUCACAUGAUACAAUAGGGAAAGGAGCAAUCUGCUGAUAGAUGGGCUUGCGUCUGAUUAGAUAGUUGGUGGGGUAACGGCCUACCAAGUCGACGAUCAGUAGCCGGACUGAGAGGUUGAACGGCCCCAUUGGGACUGAGAUACGGCCCAGACUCCUACGGGAGGCAGCAGUCGGGAAUAUUGCGCAAUGGAGGAAACUCUGACGCAGUGACGCCGCGUGCAGGAAGAAGGUUUUCGGAUUGUAAACUGCUUU
RNAcentral lists this ribosomal RNA (461 nucleotides) under uncultured bacterium. Its description in RNAcentral is "bacterial SSU rRNA". It matches the Rfam family "Bacterial small subunit ribosomal RNA", at positions 28 to 436 of the family's 1533-position model. The record is from RNAcentral.